RNAcentral lists this ribosomal RNA (253 nucleotides) under uncultured bacterium. RNAcentral's name for it is "partial 16S ribosomal RNA". It matches the Rfam family "Bacterial small subunit ribosomal RNA", at positions 524 to 776 of the family's 1533-position model. The record is from RNAcentral.
UACGUAGGGGGCUAGCGUUGUUCGGAAUUACUGGGCGUAAAGCGCACGUAGGCGGAUUGUUAAGUUAGGGGUGAAAUCCCAGGGCUCAACCCUGGAACUGCCUUUAAUACUGGCAAUCUCGAGUCCGAGAGAGGUGAGUGGAAUUCCGAGUGUAGAGGUGAAAUUCGUAGAUAUUCGGAAGAACACCAGUGGCGAAGGCGGCUCACUGGACUGGUAUUGACGCUGAGGUGCGAAAGCGUGGGGAGCAAACAGG